CAGUCGCCACGGGAAUACGUAGGGUGCGAGCGUUAAUCGGAAUUACUGGGCGUAAAGCGUGCGCAGGCGGUUGUGUAAGACAGGUGUGAAAUCCCCGGGCUUAACCUGGGAACUGCGCUUGUGACUGCACAGCUAGAGUAUGGCAGAGGGGGGUGGAAUUCCACGUGUAGCAGUGAAAUGCGUAGAGAUGUGGAGGAACACCGAUGGCGAAGGCAGCCCCCUGGGCCAAUACUGACGCUCAUGCACGAAAGCGUGGGGAGCGAACAGGAUUAGAUACCCCAGUAGUCCCUGUCUCUUAUAA
Molecule: ribosomal RNA, 301 nt
Filed under: uncultured bacterium
Lineage: Bacteria
Description: partial 16S ribosomal RNA
Rfam family: Bacterial small subunit ribosomal RNA
Source: RNAcentral